Non-coding RNA from Misgurnus anguillicaudatus (oriental weatherfish), 1701 nucleotides. The record is from RefSeq and is a predicted model, not a curated record. Lineage: Eukaryota; Metazoa; Chordata; Actinopteri; Cypriniformes; Cobitidae.
CAAUCUCAGUAUAAAAGCAAGAUUGUGAUCGCAAAUUUACAAACGCCUGCUAAUUUACAGAGUUAUAACAUCUGAACAAAAUACAGAUCAAAUAAUGGCGGCUAAAGCGGUUGUCCAGCAGCCUCAAAAUACAAAUCCUUGGAGUUCAGAGCUGUUGGGUUGUUGCGAAGACGUGAACUCUUGCCUCUAUGGAUUAUUUUGCUGCCCCUGCAUGGCCUGUUCCACCACUGGGGAUUUUGGGGAGAAAUCAUAUCUGCCUCUGAUAGACAUUUGUGGUCCAGGUUUAAUGUCUAGUUUAGGGAUUCCAAUGUGUGUGCCACCGGUAUCUCUAGGAAUACGGCUAAAAAUGCGCCAGAAAUAUGCAAUUGAGGGCACUCUUUUGAAUGAUAUCUUGGUGUCCUGUUGCUGUAUUUGGUGUUCCUGGUGUCAGAUGAACAGAGAAAUGAAAUCACGCAAAACAUCACCACAGUGACCGCACAACCCCUUGCGCAGGCUGUUCCAAACACAUCCACCAACACAAAUGUUGUGAAAGUUUGAUUUAAUAUGUAAGAGUUGUUCCUAAUUUGCCAAGUUUAACAUAACUAUUUUUUUUUCAGUGUUUUAAUUCAGGGUUUGGGUUGUUUAGUGUUUUAUUUUGGGGUGUCUGUUGUUAAGUGGUUUAUUUUAAAGUGUGGUUUGUUUAGUGUCCUAUUUUUGUGGUGUGGGUUAGGCCAGUGGUUCCCAAACUUUUUCAGCCUGCGGCCCCCCUUGUGUACGGUGCAUUCCUUCGCGGCCCCCCAAAGAAAAUUUGUGACAAAAAACUGUUCUAAAACUCAACAUUUUAAUAAAAAAACAUUAAAUUAUACAAAAAACAGUGCUUUUGGUUAGUAGCCUUAUUUUUUUAGAUUUAAUUACACAGAAUUCACGAUAAAUUAAUGUAUUUCAUAAAACUGGGGGCCCCCUGGGGACCCCGGCCCCCAGUUUGAAAACCACUGGGUUAGACAACCAAAGUUUUAUAGAUUUAUGUUUUAUGAUUAUUUUUUUUACAUUUUUGCAGAGGUGUAAAUUGUAAUUGUUACAUUUUUCAGAGUGUUUUCUUUUACUUUACUACAUUCUAAAGCAUAAUAUAGGGGAAAGCGGGGACGGUUGCAAUACUUUUUGUAUUUCCUUUAAUUUCUCAGAGAGACCCUGUUUGUAAUGGAGUGGCCAAUUUUUUAUGCAUUAAACCUUCAUCUAUACCAACCCACACUGCUGUAGCAUGUUUAAAUAUUUUAAUAUACAUACAAUUAGUUCAAUAUGCAAAGUCAAAUUUUGCAACUGACCCCAAAUGAGGGGAGAGUUGCAACAUUCUGUAAAAUGUAAUAAAAAUAAUUAUUUUCAAUUUUACUUAUUUUAUUUCUGUAGAAACAGGGUCUUCACAAAGUUGAACUGGCUGUGUGUAUAGACAAAGACUUGUAAAAGAAAACAAUAUAUUUUCAAACAAAAAGUAGCCAACUACGUUUCGUAUAAUUAUUACAAUGAAUUUGAACUUCAAAAUAUUUUUACACCAAAAUCAAAACAACAUUUCUGAACUAAACAUGUAAAGUGACACCUUAUAUGUUGUGCGUUUACUUACUAAAAACACAAGAACAGAUUAAACACAGGCUGCAGAUUUACUUUAAAAUGGGACACACCUGACUAUUAAAAGGGUUAUUUAUUAGUACAUAAAAUGGCAAAAACAGU